UACUUUCUUGGGCUUCAGACCUGGUAGC
Molecule: small RNA, 28 nt
Filed under: Bombyx mori (domestic silkworm)
Lineage: Eukaryota; Metazoa; Arthropoda; Insecta; Lepidoptera; Bombycidae
Description: piRNA piR-bmo-1871722
Source: RNAcentral